This 253-nucleotide ribosomal RNA is filed under the name uncultured bacterium. RNAcentral's name for it is "partial 16S ribosomal RNA". It matches the Rfam family "Bacterial small subunit ribosomal RNA", at positions 524 to 776 of the family's 1533-position model. The record is from RNAcentral.
UACGUAGGAGGCGAGCGUUGUCCGGAAUCACUGGGUGUAAAGCGCGUGUAGGCGGCCUGCCAAGUCUGCUGUGAAAGCGCCUGGCUUAACCGGGCGAGGUCGGUGGAAACUGGCGGGCUGGAGGACGGUAGAGGGGGGUGGAAUUCCCGGUGUAGUGGUGAAAUGCGUAGAGAUCGGGAGGAACACCAGUGGCGAAGGCGGCCCCCUGGGCCGCUCCUGACGCUGAGACGCGAAGGCGCGGGGAGCGAACGGG